Dreissena polymorpha is the source of this 304-nucleotide long non-coding RNA. RefSeq lists it as uncharacterized. The transcript is spliced from 3 exons. The record is from RefSeq and is a predicted model, not a curated record. NCBI's taxonomy places the organism in Eukaryota, Metazoa, Mollusca, Bivalvia, Myida, Dreissenidae.
CAACAUGGCUUUUAUUCACAUGAUGAGGGAGUGUUUUGUCGAAUGCUCGGAUUGAGGCAUGCUUCUAAUAACAACUGGAGAUCGUGGACAGGAAAAGCAUUCAUAUCCAAGCUCACAUGUGCUUCCGACGCGGCUCAUGUAAAUGCUUGCAACUACAGCAGGGCGAUUAAGGCGUGUUAUGGAUAUGGUGUUUCUUGUAAAGGUUUUCCUUUAAAUAUCAGCUCCACACAACUUGUAGGUGGAUCGAACGAGCGGUACGGCCGUGUUGAACUGCAUGUUGAUAACAAGACCGGUAUAGUUUGUU